CCUACGGGAGGCAGCAGUGAGGAAUAUUGGUCAAUGGGCGCGUGCCUGAACCAGCCAAGUAGCGUGAAGGAUGAGUGCCCUACGGGUUGUAAACUUCUUUUAUAAAGGAAUAAAGUGAGGCACGUGUGCCGUUUUGUAUGUACUUUAUGAAUAAGGAUCGGCUAACUCCGUGCCAGCAGCCGCGGUAAUACGGAGGAUCCGAGCGUUAUCCGGAUUUAUUGGGUUUAAAGGGAGCGUAGAUGGGAUGUUAAGUCAGUUGUGAAAGUUUGCGGCUCAACCGUAAAAUUGCAAUUGAUACUGGCAGGCUUGAGUACGGUUGAGGUAGGCGGAAUUCGUGGUGUAGCGGUGAAAUGCUUAGAUAUCACGAAGAACUCCGAUUGCGAAGGCAGCUUACUAAGCUGCCACUGACAUUGAUGCACGAAAGUGUGGGUAUCAAACAGGAUUAGAUACCCGGGUAGUC
This 460-nucleotide ribosomal RNA is filed under the name uncultured bacterium. RNAcentral's name for it is "partial 16S ribosomal RNA". It matches the Rfam family "Bacterial small subunit ribosomal RNA", at positions 338 to 795 of the family's 1533-position model. The record is from RNAcentral.